GUAACAGGUUAAGCUGACGAGUGGCGAACGGGUGAGUAAUGCAUCGGAACGUGCCCGAUCGUGGGGGAUAACGUAGCGAAAGUUACGCUAAUACCGCAUAUGCCCUGAGGGGGAAAGUGGGGGACCGUAAGGCCUCACGUUGUCGGAGCGGCCGAUAUCAGAUUAGCUAGUUGGUGGGGUAAAGGCCUACCAAGGCGACGAUCUGUAGCGGGUCUGAGAGGAUGAUCCGCCACACUGGGACUGAGACACGGCCCAGACUCCUACGGGAGGCAGCAGUGGGGAAUUUUGGACAAUGGGGGAAACCCUGAUCCAGCCAUGCCGCGUGAGUGAAGAAGGCCUUCGGGUUGUAAAGCUCUUUCGGACGGAAAGAAAUCCUAUUCACUAAUACUGAGUGGGGAUGACGGU
RNAcentral lists this ribosomal RNA (405 nucleotides) under uncultured bacterium. RNAcentral's name for it is "bacterial SSU rRNA". It matches the Rfam family "Bacterial small subunit ribosomal RNA", at positions 75 to 476 of the family's 1533-position model. The record is from RNAcentral.